This 548-nucleotide long non-coding RNA is filed under the name Citrus sinensis (sweet orange). RNAcentral's name for it is "long non-coding RNA (CSIN_LNC001948)". Lineage: Eukaryota; Viridiplantae; Streptophyta; Magnoliopsida; Sapindales; Rutaceae. The record is from RNAcentral.
CGUCUCCACUGGCUGCAUUACUGCCAAGCAAGCUUCCCUAGCUAAUGAACAGCUAAGAUCUUUAUAUUCCCAGGUAUUUACUUGUGUCAAAUAAUUCAAUUAUAUUUGCUUGCUUGCCUGGUUAUAAAUGAUUGUUACUCUUCUCAAAAAAAAAAAAAAAAAAAUGAUUGUUACUAGAUAAAAUUACAAUUUUCAAUUGAUCAUGAUAUUAGGUCCGACCUAAUGCUAUUGCACUCGUCGAUGCAUAUAAUUACACCGAUCACUAUCUUGGCUCGGUCCUUGGACGGUAUGAUGGAAAUGUGUACCCGAAACUCUACGAGGAAGCAUGGAAGGAUCCUCUAAAUGACUCAGUUGUGCCUGAUGGCUACCAUGAAUACAUCAGGCCUCUUCUGAAACAACAGCUUCGAAAUGCAAGACUCUAAAGAAUAUGAUGAAAGGGUGUGGUGUAUACCCAAGUAAUUCAAAUCGUAUACACUUUUUAUCCUAUCAAUAAUUUUUGCCAAUAAAAUUAACAUAUUGACCACCCACAAUAGAAUAAUAUGGGUCUG